UUCUCCUUCCUAGGGCCUUUGCAAGUUCUAGAGUUAUGGCCCCAUUAUUGAUAAUUCCUACGUCUUAAUGAUGUACCCCUCCUUUUGAUUUGAGUAGAAUCCUUUGGCUCAUCCUCUUCUCUUCUUCUUGCCUUUUUGGGUCUAUCUGGAGGAUCCUUUGAGGGAGGGGGGGAUACUUUAGAGUAGUUUGUCCUUGACCAAGAUUUCAUGCUUGAAAAUGACUCAAUAAGAUACUCGUAGAUAAUAAAAAAUAUUUGUUUACUGUACCAUGCACUGACAAAAUCUUCUGCCUCC
Molecule: long non-coding RNA, 294 nt
Filed under: Elaeis guineensis (African oil palm)
Lineage: Eukaryota; Viridiplantae; Streptophyta; Magnoliopsida; Arecales; Arecaceae
Description: long non-coding RNA (EGUI_LNC011468)
Source: RNAcentral